GGUAUGUUGGAAUGGCAGACAAAGUCGUUUUAGGUACGGCGGAUAGAAAUAUCAUACACGUUCAAGUCGUGUUACCUGUA
RNAcentral lists this transfer RNA (80 nucleotides) under Fusarium solani. RNAcentral's name for it is "tRNA-Leu". Lineage: Eukaryota; Fungi; Ascomycota; Sordariomycetes; Hypocreales; Nectriaceae. The record is from RNAcentral.